This 379-nucleotide ribosomal RNA is filed under the name uncultured eukaryote. Its description in RNAcentral is "partial 18S ribosomal RNA". It matches the Rfam family "Eukaryotic small subunit ribosomal RNA", at positions 592 to 975 of the family's 1831-position model. The record is from RNAcentral.
CAAUAGCGUAUAUUAAAGUUGUUGCGGUUAAAAAGCUCGUAGUUGGAUUUCUGCUGAGAACGACCGGUCCGCCCUUUGGGUGUGUAUCUGGCUCUUUCUUGGCAUCUUCUUGGUGAACGUUGCUGCACUUGACUGUGUGGAGCGCUACCCAGGACUUUUACUUUGAGGAAAUUAGAGUGUUUCAAGCAGGCAUACGCCUUGAAUACAUUAGCAUGGAAUAAUAAGAUAGGACCUCGGUUCUAUUUUGUUGGUUUCUAGAGCUGAGGUAAUGAUUAAUAGGGAUAGUUGGGGGCAUUCGUAUUUAACUGUCAGAGGUGAAAUUCUUGGAUUUGUUAAAGACGGACUACUGCGAANGNAUUUGUNAAGGAUGUUUNCAUUG